RNAcentral lists this ribosomal RNA (440 nucleotides) under uncultured bacterium. Its description in RNAcentral is "partial 16S ribosomal RNA". It matches the Rfam family "Bacterial small subunit ribosomal RNA", at positions 338 to 795 of the family's 1533-position model. The record is from RNAcentral.
CCUACGGGAGGCUGCAGUGGGGAAUAUUGCACAAUGGGGGAAACCCUGAUGCAGCGACGCCGCGUGAGUGAGGAAGUAUUUCGGUAUGUAAAGCUCUAUCAGCAGGGAAGAAAAAGACGGUACCUGACCAAGAAGCCCCGGCUAACUACGUGCCAGCAGCCGCGGUAAUACGUAGGGGGCAAGCGUUAUCCGGAUUUACUGGGUGUAAAGGGAGCGUAGACGGCUAAUCAAGUCAGAAGUGAAAACCCAGGGCUCAACCUUGGGACUGCUUUUGAAACUGCGGAGCUGGAGUGCAGGAGGGGUAAGCGGAAUUCCUAGUGUAGCGGUGAAAUGCGUAGAUAUUAGGAGGAACACCGGUGGCGAAGGCGGCUUACUGGACUGUAACUGACGUUGAGGCUCGAAAGCGUGGGGAGCAAACAGGAUUAGAUACCCGGGUAGUC